UACGUAGGGGGCAAGCGUUGUCCGGAAUCACUGGGCGUAAAGCGCGCGCAGGCGGUAUCUCACGUCUGGGGUGAAAGCCCAGGGCUCAACCCUGGAACGGCCUUGGAAACGGAGGUACUUGAGCGUCGGAGAGGCAAGGGGAAUUCCACGUGUAGCGGUGAAAUGCGUAGAGAUGUGGAGGAACACCAGUGGCGAAGGCGCCUUGCUGGCCGAUUGCUGACGCUGAGGCGCGAAAGCGUGGGGAGCAAACAGG
RNAcentral lists this ribosomal RNA (253 nucleotides) under uncultured bacterium. RNAcentral describes it as "partial 16S ribosomal RNA". It matches the Rfam family "Bacterial small subunit ribosomal RNA", at positions 524 to 776 of the family's 1533-position model. The record is from RNAcentral.